GAUGAACGCUGGCGGCGUGCCUAAUACAUGCAAGUCGAGCGGACAGACGAGGUGCUUGCACCUCUGAAGUCAGCGGCGGACGGGUGAGUAACACGUGGGUAACCUACCUGUAAGACUGGGAUAACUUCGGGAAACCGGAGCUAAUACCGGAUAAUAUUUUCCACCUCAUGGUGGAAUAGUGAAAGACGGUUUUGCUGUCACUUACAGAUGGACCCGCGGCGCAUUAGCUAGUUGGUGAGGUAACGGCUCACCAAGGCGACGAUGCGUAGCCGACCUGAGAGGGUGAUCGGCCACACUGGGACUGAGACACGGCCCAGACUCCUACGGGAGGCAGCAGUAGGGAAUCUUCCGCAAUGGACGAAAGUCUGACGGAGCAACGCCGCGUGAGUGAAGAAGGUCUUCGGAUCGUAAAACUCUGUUGUAAGGGAAGAACAAGUACGUUAGUAACUGAACGUACCUUGACGG
Molecule: ribosomal RNA, 465 nt
Filed under: uncultured bacterium
Lineage: Bacteria
Description: bacterial SSU rRNA
Rfam family: Bacterial small subunit ribosomal RNA
Source: RNAcentral